UCCCACAACAUCUACCAGUCCCACGUCUGCAGGUGAGCAUGUUCCUGGACUGGGAUGUAGCCUCAUGAAGAACACAGUAAUUCAGCAUCUGAGUCUGAUUUAAACUUGGUUUCCGUUUCUGUCUUGUAUUGUUUCAGUUCCUUUACACAUGGUCACUUCCACAACAUAUACUAGUCCCACAGUUUCUUUACACCCAGUCACUUCUACAACAUCUACUAGUUCUACAUCUACUGUUCCUUUACACAUGGUCACUUCCACAACAUCUACUAGUCCCACUACUACAGAUGAAUGAGUUGCCAAACUGGAAUGUGGUUUUCAAAAGAAGCGCCUCAUAUUAAUUGUCUUCAUGAAAAACACAGUAAUUUAGCAUCUAUUUCCAUAUGUUAUUGUUUCAGGUCCUUUACCGCCAAUCACUUCCACAACAUCUACCAGUCAUACUUCUACAGGUUAGUGUAAUGCUGGACUUCAUCCAAGUUUGUUUUUGGUGACUAUUUAUGUUUAGGUCUCAUUAAUGUUAUUUAGAAACCCUCAA
Long non-coding RNA from Rhinichthys klamathensis goyatoka, 532 nucleotides. RefSeq lists it as uncharacterized. The transcript has 3 exons. Lineage: Eukaryota; Metazoa; Chordata; Actinopteri; Cypriniformes; Leuciscidae. The record is from RefSeq and is a predicted model, not a curated record.